UUGGAGGGCAAGUCUGGUGCCAGCAGCCGCGGUAAUUCCAGCUCCAAUAGCGUAUAUUAAAGUUGUUGCAGUUAAAAAGCUCGUAGUUGAAUUUCGGGAUUCUACCGUUGGUCGGGCUAACAAGUCUGUACUGGUGUGUAGAAUUUCUACCUUCUGGGGAACUAUCAUGUUAUUAAUUUAGCGUGGUGGGAAACCAGGACCUUUACCUUGAAAAAAUUAGAGUGUUCAAAGCAGGCUUACGUCUGAAUACAUUAGCAUGGAAUAAUAGAAUAGGACGGUGGUCCUGUUUUGUUGGUUUCUGAAUCACCGUAAUGAUUAAUAGGGAUAGUUGGGGGCAUUAGUAUUCAAUUGUCAGAGGUGAAAUUCUUGGAUUUAUUGAAGACUAACUUCUGCGAAAGCAUUUGCCAAGGAUGUUUUCAUUAAUCAAGAACGAAGGUUAGGGGAUCGAAGACGAUCAGAUACCGUCGUAGUCUUAACCAUAAACUAUGCCGACUAGGGAUCGGACGAUGUUAAAUUUUAUUGACUCGUUCGGCACCUUACGGGAAAC
Molecule: ribosomal RNA, 547 nt
Filed under: uncultured Gigasporaceae
Lineage: Eukaryota; Fungi; Glomeromycota; Glomeromycetes; Diversisporales; Gigasporaceae
Description: SSU rRNA
Rfam family: Eukaryotic small subunit ribosomal RNA
Source: RNAcentral